UGGCCACCCAGGAUUCCCCACAUAAAGCC
Molecule: non-coding RNA, 29 nt
Filed under: Homo sapiens (human)
Lineage: Eukaryota; Metazoa; Chordata; Mammalia; Primates; Hominidae
Source: RNAcentral